RNAcentral lists this non-coding RNA (204 nucleotides) under Gammaproteobacteria bacterium. RNAcentral's name for it is "6S RNA". It matches the Rfam family "6S / SsrS RNA". From Rfam's summary of the family: E. coli 6S RNA was the first non coding RNA to be sequenced, but its function was unknown until recently. It consists of 184 nucleotides that fold into an extended hairpin structure with a large single-stranded internal bulge. The 6S RNA specifically associates with RNA polymerase holoenzyme containing the sigma70 specificity factor. RNAcentral also lists the same sequence under 1 other name. Lineage: Bacteria; Pseudomonadati; Pseudomonadota; Gammaproteobacteria. The record is from RNAcentral.
AGUUCCCUGAGGUGAUCGAGAUUCGGUUAUGUCCUCGAGCCGAUAAUCACACCCCGGUAACCACUAGAGGGUAUUGUGAGCAAGUCCCUUGCCUGUUUUGAUCUGUCAGAUCAGGCAACAGGGAAAGCCUGAUGUAUCACAGCGGUUACCACCUUGAACCAGUGGGUUCAAGGCCUUACCUGAUCACGACACCGCGGGGCACUU